This 497-nucleotide ribosomal RNA is filed under the name uncultured bacterium. RNAcentral's name for it is "partial 16S ribosomal RNA". It matches the Rfam family "Bacterial small subunit ribosomal RNA", at positions 28 to 507 of the family's 1533-position model. The record is from RNAcentral.
GACGAACGCUGGCGGCGUGCCUAAUACAUGCAAGUAGAACGGUGAGGAGAGGAGCUUGCGCUUCUUGGAUGAGUUGCGCACGGGUGAGUAACGCGUAUGUAACCUGCCUUGUAGCGGGGUAUAACUAUGGGAAACGAUAGCUAAUACCGCAUAACAAUGGAUGACACAUGUCAGUUAUGUGAAAGGGGCAAUUGCUCCACUACAAGAUGGACCUGCGUUGUAUUAGCUAGUAGGUGAGGUAAUGGCUCACCUAGGCGACGUUACAUAGCCGACCUGAGAGGAUGAGCGGCCAGACUGGGAGUGAGACACGCCCCAGACUCCUACGGGGAGCAGCAGUAGGGAAACUUCGGCAAUAGGGGCAAACCUGACCGAGCAACGCCGCGUGAGGGAAGAAGGUUUUCGGGUCGUGAAGCUCUGUUGUAGGUCAAGAACGGGUGUGAGAGUGGAAAGUUCACACUGUGACGGUAGCUUAUCAGAAAGGAACGGCUAACUACGUG